RNAcentral lists this ribosomal RNA (225 nucleotides) under Triticum aestivum (bread wheat). RNAcentral describes it as "partial small subunit ribosomal RNA". Lineage: Eukaryota; Viridiplantae; Streptophyta; Magnoliopsida; Poales; Poaceae. The record is from RNAcentral.
AUGUGUAUUCCGAAGGAAAAGGGGGGUAUGGGGUUUCGAGAUGUCCAGAGUUUCAACUUAGCCAUGCUGGCCAAGCAGUGUUGGAGGCUGAUUGAGCAUAAUGAGUCCCUGUGUGCAAGGGUAUUAAGAGCGAGAUACUAUCCCACUGGCGACAUAUUGAAUUGUGAACUGAAGAAGGGCUCCUCUUAUAUUUGGAGGAGCAUUUGGGCGGGCAUACAAACAUUC